Molecule: ribosomal RNA, 346 nt
Filed under: uncultured bacterium
Lineage: Bacteria
Description: bacterial SSU rRNA
Rfam family: Bacterial small subunit ribosomal RNA
Source: RNAcentral
AGAGUUUGAUCCUGGCUCAGGACGAACGCUGGCGGCGCGCCUAACACAUGCAAGUCGAACGAGAGAGAGGGAGCUUGCUUCCUUGAUCGAGUGGCGAACGGGUGAGUAACGCGUGAGGAACCUGCCUCAAAGAGGGGGACAACGAGUUGGAAACGACUGCUAAUACCGCAUAAGCCCACGACCCGGCAUCGGGAAGAGGGAAAAGGAGCAAUCCGCUUUGAGAUGGCCUCGCGUCCGAUUAGCUAGUUGGUGAGGUAACGGCCCACCAAGGCGACGAUCGGUAGCCGGACUGAGAGGUUGAACGGCCACAUUGGGACUGAGACACGGCCCAGACUCUACGGGAGCA